CCCUUGAGUGUGGACCUUGUAGCUGUUGGAGGAUUUAUGGCAGUGUGUUUGUGUUUGGAUGGAAGCUCUUCUGUGUUUUCAGCCCAUGAAAUGCAAUUACUUUCAUCCACAGGGGAUGUUAACGCAGCUCUCUAAUGCUGGCAUGCAGACACUGAAUUAACAGCCGUCCUGACACUCUUACUCUUGGUUUUCUUCGAACAGAGCAUCCAAAAAGGAGAAAAAGGAGGAAAAAAAGCCUAAGCUGCUUUGGUCAUUUCCUACAGUGCUGAAACAACACCAUUUGUUUCCAUCCUGGUGGAAGAAUCCAUCAUGACUGUGUUUUCCGUGACCUGGGCAUCCACUGGCUUUGGAAACAGAUUGACUACUGCUGCCAUUGACAGACCCAGCUACACUUUCCCUGCAGCAGCUGGCAGAGCACAGAAGAAGUAAUGUGACAUCCCUCUUCUGGCUGCUAGAAGAAGCCUGGAACAGCUGAGGCUUUUUCAUCUGUUACCCUGCAUCUAACAACAAGUCCCUGCAGCCUACCCUGUCGCAACUGUUGUUCUGGAACCUGGGCAUUGCGUAAUGUGCUCCAAGCACUGUGGACGUUUUGACUUUGUCCUUCCCCCUGAUCCUACUGGGACAACACCGUCUCUGUGGUCCACGAUCAAGUCUCAAUCUAAAUGAAGGGUCAUGUCACUAGAGCCAAAUAUCUUCUGCCUGUCCAGAUGUAAAGAGUGAAUAACUUCACCCUGGCAGGACUUUCCAAAAGCUGUUAUUUCAGCUCUGUGACAAUUUGCAGCCCACCUCCAGCCUCUCGCCACCACUACCAUGGGUGGUCAUCUCCAAUCAAACCCCGCAGUUACAAGUUUCUCUUCCAUGAAGUCAGUGUCACUCCCCAUCACCACCACCAGGAUCUAGGCUCAGGGAGGGAGGUGUCCUUCGCACUUCAUUUGUCAUUUUAGUUUCCUGAGGUUAUCUACUUCCUGCCAGGGGCUAAGCACCGCAGUUUUUUUCAAUAAGUUCAUUUUAUUUGAAUUAUCUCAUUCUCUUUUAUUUUUUAUAAGCCUCUUCUGACUGAAAUGUCAGUGUGAUUUUCAGUGAGAUUUUCUUACAUCUGGGACAGAACCUGCAAGUUCUGGUUUCACUUUGGUUCUCUAUUUGGCUUCCAUACAAAAAAUAGCCUAAAUACACCUUCAAAUUAACCCCCAAAUCUACAAUGACACAUUAAUGUUUCUGUGGCACCAAAAAUGUACACACACUGUUUUGGUUGCAUUGCAUUACACCCUAAACUUUGCUGUGUUAGAUUUUCUCUAAUGCAAACUAAACCUCUUCUGCUUUUGCUGCUUCACAUUAGCAAAUGCCAGUGAACCGACAAGAUGCAGCAACACACACCAAGUGAUUUGUGCAGCAGAUGUAUCCUGCAGCAGUCAAAAAAAAUGGAAUUUAAUUUUAGCUGAAUUUUAAAUAUUGCAGGGAGGAACAGCACAAACAGUAACAGCCACAGUGAGUUAAAAAGGGCUCCAAGAUGACAGGGUCUUACUGUAGUUUAUGACGAGCACACCUCAUCACUGUCUUCACAUUAUACAGCCUGACCCAUCACUGUCUUCUAAAAAUGAGUUUUAUACAUAAAACUAAUUUGUUUUCCUAAUUAUGGAAUUUAGUCACAGCUUGUCUCACAGGUGUGCUAAGUGACUAUGUAAUUUACUGACAACAAAAUUAUUACAAUGAAAUAGGCGGGAGGAAUGUGUAAAGUCAGUCAUGUAGGGGGUGAACGAGUCAGUACACACAUAGAAACACAAAGUGUUUAUGUACUCAUCCUUCUGAGUUAUUUCUGAGAGAUUCUAGGCUGGAAAUGUUUUGUUUGGAAGGUGCAUGUUGACCUCGGAUAAUUAACAGACUGU
Molecule: long non-coding RNA, 1883 nt
Organism: Scatophagus argus
Lineage: Eukaryota; Metazoa; Chordata; Actinopteri; Scatophagidae
Exons: 5
Source: RefSeq, a predicted model, not a curated record